Tachyglossus aculeatus (Australian echidna) is the source of this 132-nucleotide small nucleolar RNA. Lineage: Eukaryota; Metazoa; Chordata; Mammalia; Monotremata; Tachyglossidae. The record is from RefSeq and is a predicted model, not a curated record.
GUCCUCUCAGGGUCACACCUGGAGAGUUUCCAGUACUCUACCAGUCUCGACUACAGGAGGAAGAGCCAAGCAGAGGCAUACCCAUUCCAUUCCUAGCUUGGGCUAGCAUGUGGAAGGCAAUCUGCUGCAAGU